This 1038-nucleotide long non-coding RNA is filed under the name Nothobranchius furzeri (turquoise killifish). RNAcentral describes it as "lncRNA (ENSNFUG00015004664.1)". The record is from RNAcentral. Lineage: Eukaryota; Metazoa; Chordata; Actinopteri; Cyprinodontiformes; Nothobranchiidae.
AUGAGCGCCGUGUUGGACGUGGCUUCGCGAAAGGCCGCUUCGUGCCCCUGUCCUCAGGGCUGUGGAUUCUCUCUUCACGAGAAGGACCCACACGAAGCAUGCCCGGUUUGUCUGGGAAUUCUCCACAUCAGGAGAGCUCUUGUAGACCCGGAGGCAUGCGAGUUCUGUCGCCAACUCUGCCGUCCCACACUCGAAUGGCGCGUGAAGCUCCAACAAUGUCUCCUGGGAGACACUGCAGUUUUGCAGCAGGACCCCAUGCUUUCCCGUUCGGCCCCGGCUUUGCCCGGCUCUGACGCGGACAGCCUAGUGAUCGAUGUCCCCGCUACUAGCUGGGCAGAUCAGAUGGAGAUGGCAGACAAUUUAACCGGACCAGACCUAGAGGCUUCUCAUUUUCCUCCUCUGGCAGAGGAUGAAGGAGACGUUGUGGACAUUUGCCCCGACGGUCAGGACUUACUCGAGGAUGAGGAGGUCCUCUCAGCAGUGGAGUGUUCAGCUCCAGCCGCUACUUCAGCCUCCAAGCUGCGAGAUGACACUUCUUUUCUCCCGCUCUGCCAGCGUGCAGCGGGGAGGUUAAAAGUGGACUGGCCCGCUCCUCCACCUGCACAAAAGAGGUCCUGCUUUUCUGGAUUUUACCUCCCCUCAGAACCAGCGGAGGUAAAGAACUUUCUGACACUAUACCCAGAUUUUGUGGCUGAGCUCACUGUAUCCUGGGCCAAGCCGCUAUCCACCCACACCACGGUCCCAGGUUAUGGUCAGUUUUUCGACCUCGACGGCGCAGAAAUGGCGGGAUUGGUUAACCUCCCUUCGAUGAAGCCCUCUCUCGCGGCUUACCUGGCCCCGACCUGCAAUAACGAGUCAGUGGACAAGCUAAUCUACCCUCCAAGCCAUGCCGCUUCUCAGCUGCACAACUGGAGAAGAUUUACUGCGCGCAGGCCUCCACUGCCCACUUCCUCAGCUCCAGGCCUGCCAAUCACUUUGCCUGGCGGACCUUGGAGCAAGAGUCCCACCCGACAGCCCACUGACCCCCCUCAUCAAUGA